Molecule: transfer RNA, 77 nt
Filed under: Candidatus Cloacimonetes bacterium ADurb.Bin117
Lineage: Bacteria; Pseudomonadati; Candidatus Cloacimonadota
Also listed under: 3 other names
Description: tRNA-Met
Rfam family: tRNA
About the family: Transfer RNA (tRNA) molecules are approximately 80 nucleotides in length.
Source: RNAcentral
GGCGGUGUAGCUCAGUUGGUUAGAGCGUCGGAAUCAUAAUCCGCAGGUCCGGGGUUCAAGUCCCUGCGCCGCUACCA